Molecule: ribosomal RNA, 301 nt
Filed under: uncultured bacterium
Lineage: Bacteria
Description: partial 16S ribosomal RNA
Rfam family: Bacterial small subunit ribosomal RNA
Source: RNAcentral
CAGUCGCCGCGGUAAUACAGAGGGUGCAAGCGUUAAUCGGAAUUACUGGGCGUAAAGCGCGCGUAGGUGGUUUGUUAAGUUGGAUGUGAAAUCCCCGGGCUCAACCUGGGAACUGCAUUCAAAACUGACUGACUAGAGUAUGGUAGAGGGUGGUGGAAUUUCCUGUGUAGCGGUGAAAUGCGUAGAUAUUCGGAAGAACACUAGUGGCGAAGGCGGCUUACUGGCUCAUACUGGACGCUGAGGUGCGAAAGCGUGGGGAGCAAACAGGAUUAGAUACCCCCGUAGUCCCUGUCUCUUAUAC